Ostrea edulis (European flat oyster) is the source of this 543-nucleotide long non-coding RNA. RefSeq lists it as uncharacterized. NCBI's taxonomy places the organism in Eukaryota, Metazoa, Mollusca, Bivalvia, Ostreida, Ostreidae. The record is from RefSeq and is a predicted model, not a curated record. The transcript has 2 exons.
UUUACUUCAUUUCCCUAACUCAUUGAACGAAAACCGAAAGUUAAUAAACAAAGUGCAUCAUCUGAAAUACUUGAUGUCAGUCUUGAACGAAGUCACAGAAUAAAGAUGAUGGUAUUUGUCCAACCAGUAUCUGGGAACACUCAACCAGUUUCGGUGGAACCGAGCGAUAUGGUGGGGACAUUAUUCCACAAACUGAGUCAUCCUAUAGAAUGCACGGCGGACGACGUGAGGUUCAUCUUUGCGGGUCAGCAGUUAAAAAAUGGCAGAACUUUCGCGGAUUACGGCAUAAGAGACGGGUCAACUAUUCAUUAUAUAUUACGAUUACGAGGAAGCUGAUUGCUAUGAAGAAAGUUAAAAUAAAAAAGAUGGACUCAACAGAUUUUUAAUACUUCCAUAGGUUAAUUUCAAAAGCAUUGUAAUUUAAAGAAAAGCUCGAUCGAUAGAGAGAGAAGAUAAUUUAAUUGUUCUUGUUUCAAUGUUGGUUAAAGUCAUGUAUAUAUUGAUGUAGAAUUUCUGUACAGCUAAACAAUAAUUGGAAUGAAA